Molecule: long non-coding RNA, 812 nt
Organism: Chanos chanos (milkfish)
Lineage: Eukaryota; Metazoa; Chordata; Actinopteri; Gonorynchiformes; Chanidae
Exons: 4
Source: RefSeq, a predicted model, not a curated record
CCUGAGCAGGGAAAGCAAAGAGGAGAGACAGGAGAAGAUAGCAGCUGAAUGUGAGAAUUAAUGACACCUCAGAGCCGAGACACAGAGAAGAGCUAUGAAUAUGCCUCAGAUGGAACAGGGUACACAACAAUUCCUGAAAAACUGACAGUAUCAGACUACAAACCAAGAUGUAAAACUUACUCACUGCAAGAUUACUGUGCUCCACCCUAACCUUUUAAGAACACUGCAUUAAAAGCAAGCCUUCAGUCUCCAGUAGACAAAACACUCACCUCAAGGAAGCCAAGCUGAUCCAAAAAGUUUCGCAAGAUUACCACGAACACCAAUGAUGUCCCCCCGUCUUAACCUGGUGUUGAUUUUUAAGAACUCUUCCUCUGAUUUGUAACUCCUACAAAAACAGUGAUGAUAACUAUACUGAGGCAUGUGGUGAUAAGUAUAGGAGAAAACAUAAAGGACAAGUACAAAGUGUAAUUAUUCUGAACAAACAAAAAGAAAUUCCUUAUAAAAACCUGUGUUUACAGUGAUUGAACAUUCUGAAAAGUAGUGACUCCAAAAACUUUGAUAACUUCACUUUUUACUGCAUGGAAGCACAUCACCUUAUUAACUAGAAAGGACUAAGUUCAUACUUGGAGUUAGCCAUCACUUGUAGCUUGACACCCUCUCCUCUGAGAUCAUAGAACAGCAGCUUGGAACCUGAGGCUCUCUUGGCAUGGAUUCGACCUAAAUGCAGAUAACAUCAUAUAACUGAUACUGACCCAAUAUGCCUGGUUCAAAUACAGUACAACCUUAACAUGCUCUUUGAGGAAUUACCAGCG